UACGUAGGUGGCAAGCGUUGUCUGGAUUUACUGGGCGUAAAGAGCGCGCAGGCGGUCGGAUCAGUCGAAUGUGAAAGCCCCCGGCUCAACUGGGGAGGGUCAUUCGAUACUGUCCGACUCGAAGGCAGGAGAGGGAAGCGGAAUUCCCGGUGUAGUGGUGAAAUGCGUAGAUAUCGGGAGGAACACCAGUGGCGAAGGCGGCUUUCUGGCCUGUUCUUGACGCUGAGGCGCGAAAGCUAGGGGAGCAAACGGG
RNAcentral lists this ribosomal RNA (253 nucleotides) under uncultured bacterium. Its description in RNAcentral is "partial 16S ribosomal RNA". It matches the Rfam family "Bacterial small subunit ribosomal RNA", at positions 524 to 776 of the family's 1533-position model. The record is from RNAcentral.